GGCUUAGAAGCAGCCACCAUUGAAAGAGUGCGUAAUAGCUCACUGGUCGAGUGACCCCGCGCCGAAAAUGUACCGGGGCUAAACAUAUUACCGAAACUGUGGAUGAACCUCUUUAGAGGUUCGUGGUAGGAGAGCGUUCUAAGGGCGGUGAAGUCAGACCGGAAGGACUGGUGGAGCGCUUAGAAGUGAGAAUGCCGGUAUGAGUAGCGAAAGAAGGGUGAGAAUCCCUUCCACCGAAUAUCUAAGGUUUCCUGAGGAAGGCUCGUCCGCUCAGGGUUAGUCGGGACCUAAGCCGAGGCCGAUAGGCGUAGGCGAUGGACAACAGGUAGAGAUUCCUGUACCAGUGCUAAUUGUUUAACCGAUGGGGUGACACAGAAGGAUAGGGAAUCGCACGAAUGGAAAUGUGCGUCCAAGCAGUGAGUGUGAGAAGUAGGCAAAUCCGCUUCUCGCGAAGCAUGAGCUGUGAUGGGGAAGGAAAUUAAGUACGGAAGUUCCUGAUUUCACGCUGUCAAGAAAAGCCUCUAGGAAGAGUAGUACUGCCCGUACCGCAAACCGACACAGGUAGAUGAGGAGAGAAUCCUAAGGUGAGCGAGAGAACUCUCGUUAAGGAACUCGGCAAAAUGACCCCGUAACUUCGGGAGAAGGGGUGCUCUAUUAGGGUGCAAGCCCGAGAGAGCCGCAGUGAAUAGGCCCAGGCGACUGUUUAGCAAAAACACAGGUCUCUGCAAAACCGUAAGGUGACGUAUAGGGGCUGACGCCUGCCCGGUGCUGGAAGGUUAAGAGGAGUGCUUAGCUUCGGCGAAGGUACGAAUUGAAGCCCCAGUAAACGGCGGCCGUAACUAUAACGGUCCUAAGGUAGCGAAAUUCCUUGUCGGGUAAGUUCCGACCCGCACGAAAGGCGCAACGAUCUGGGCACUGUCUCAACGAGAGACUCGGUGAAAUUAUAGUACCUGUGAAGAUGCAGGUUACCCGCGACAGGACGGAAAGACCCCGUGGAGCUUUACUGCAACCUGAUAUGGAAUGUUUGUACCGCUUGUACAGGAUAGGUAGGAGCCGAAGAGACGUGUGCGCUAGCAUACGAGGAGGCAAUGGUGGGAUACUACCCUGGCUGUAUGACCAUUCUAACCCGCCACGCUUAGCGCGUGGGGAGACAGUGUCAGGUGGGCAGUUUGACUGGGGCGGUCGCCUCCUAAAGAGUAACGGAGGCGCCCAAAGGUUCCCUCAGAAUGGAUGGAAAUCAUUCGCAGAGUGUAAAGGCACAAGGGAGCUUGACUGCGAGACUGACAAGUCGAGCAGGGACGAAAGUCGGGCUUAGUGAUCCGGUGGUUCCGCAUGGAAGGGCCAUCGCUCAACGGAUAAAAGCUACCCCGGGGAUAACAGGCUUAUCUCCCCCAAGAGUCCACAUCGACGGGGAGGUUUGGCACCUCGAUGUCGGCUCGUCGCAUCCUGGGGCUGUAGUCGGUCCCAAGGGUUGGGCUGUUCGCCCAUUAAAGCGGCACGCGAGCUGGGUUCAGAACGUCGUGAGACAGUUCGGUCCCUAUCCGUCGCGGGCGCAGGAAAUUUGAGAGGAGCUGUCCUUAGUACGAGAGGACCGGGAUGGACACACCGCUGGUGUACCAGUUGUUCCGCCAGGAGCAUCGCUGGGUAGCUAUGUGUGGCAGGGAUAAACGCUGAAAGCAUCUAAGCGUGAAGCCCCCCUCAAGAUGAGAUUUCCCAUUUCUUCGGAAAGUAAGAUCCCUGAAAGAUGAUCAGGUAGAUAGGUUUGGAGUGGAAGUGUAGCGAUACAUGGAGCGGACAAAUACUAAUCGAUCGAGGACUUAACCAAAA
This 1827-nucleotide ribosomal RNA is filed under the name Listeria monocytogenes. RNAcentral's name for it is "partial 23S ribosomal RNA". It matches the Rfam family "Bacterial large subunit ribosomal RNA", at positions 1103 to 2925 of the family's 2925-position model. The record is from RNAcentral. Lineage: Bacteria; Bacillati; Bacillota; Bacilli; Caryophanales; Listeriaceae.